UACGUAGGGGGCAAGCGUUGUCCGGAAUUAUUGGGCGUAAAGCGCGCGCAGGCGGCUUUGUAAGUCUAGUGUUUAAUCUCGGAGCUCAACUCCGAUUCGCACCGGAAACUGCAAGGCUUGAGUACAGAAGAGGAAAGUGGAAUUCCACGUGUAGCGGUGAAAUGCGUAGAGAUGUGGAGGAACACCAGUGGCGAAGGCGGCUACCUGGACUGACACUGACACUGAGGCGCGAAAGCGUGGGUAGCAAACAGG
This 252-nucleotide ribosomal RNA is filed under the name uncultured bacterium. RNAcentral describes it as "partial 16S ribosomal RNA". It matches the Rfam family "Bacterial small subunit ribosomal RNA", at positions 524 to 776 of the family's 1533-position model. The record is from RNAcentral.